AGAGUUUGAUCCUGGCUCAGGAUCAACGCUGGUGGCGUGCUUAACACAUGCAAGUCGAGCGCGGUCCCUUUGGUGCUUGCACCAAAGAAGACUGAGCGGCGGACGGGUGAGUAACGCGUGGGUAACCUGCCCUAUACACAUGGAUAACAUGCUGAAAAGCAUACUAAUACAUGAUAACGUACACUGAUGGCAUCUUCGGUGUAUCAAAGCGUUAGCGGUAUAGGAUGGACCCGCGUCUGAUUAGCUAGUUGGUGGGGUAAAAGCCUACCAAGGCCACGAUCAGUAGCCGACCUGAGAGGGUGAUCGGCCACAUUGGAACUGAGACACGGUCCAUUCUCCUACGGGAGGCAGCAGUGGGGAAUAUUGCACAAUGGGCGAAAGCCUGAUGCAGCAACGCCGCGUGAACGAUGAAGGUCUUCGGAUCGUAAAGUUCUGUCGCAGGGGAAGAUAAUGACGGUACCCUGUGAGGAAGCACCGGCUAACUACGUGCCAGCAGCCGCGGUAAUACGUAGGGUGCUAGCGUUAUCCGGAUUUACUGGGCGUAAAGGGUGCGUAGGUGGUCUUUCAAGUCGGUGGUUAAAGGCUACGGCUCAACCGUAUUAAGCCGCCGAAACUGGAAGACUUGAGUGCAGGAGAGGAAAGUGGAAUUCUCAGUGUAGCGGUGAAAUGCGUAGAUAUUGAGAAGGACACCAGUAGCGAAGGCGGUUUCUGGACUGUAACUGACACUGAGGCACGAAAGCGUGGUAAGCANACAGGAUUAGAUACCCUGGUAGUCCACGCCGUAAACGAUGAGUAUUAGGUGUCGGGGGUUACCCCCCUCGGUGCCGCAGUUAACGCAUUAAAUACUCCGCCUGGGGAGUACGCACGCAAGUGUGAAACUCAAAGGAAUUGGCGGGGACCCGCACAAGUAGCGGAGCAUGUGGUUUAAUUCGAAGCAACGCGAAGAACCUUACCUAAGCUUGACAUCUCUCAGAUCGGUAGUUAAUCCUACCUUCCCUUCGGGGCUGAGAUGACAGGUGGUGCAUGGUUGUCGUCAGCUCGUGUCGUGAGAUAAAGGGUUAAGUCCCGCAACGAGCGCAACCCUUGUCUUUAGUUGCCAGCAUUAAGUUGGGCACUCUAGAGAGACUGCCAGGGAUAACCUGGAGGAAGGUGGGGAUGACGUCAAAUCAUCAUGCCCCUUAUGCUUAGGGCUACACACGUGCUACAAUGGGUGGUACAGAGGGUUGCCAAGCCGCAAGGUGGAGCUAAUCCCUUAAAGCCAUUCUCAGUUCGGAUUGUAGGAUGAUACUCGCCUACAUGAAGCUGGAGUUACUAGUAAUCGCAGAUCAGAAUGCUGCGGUGAAUGCGUUCCCGGAUCUUGCACAGACCGCCCGUC
This 1375-nucleotide ribosomal RNA is filed under the name uncultured bacterium. RNAcentral describes it as "16S ribosomal RNA". It matches the Rfam family "Bacterial small subunit ribosomal RNA". The record is from RNAcentral.